GGACUACUGGGGUAUCUAAUCCUGUUUGCUCCCCACGCUUUCGUGCCUGAGCGUCAGUGUUAGCCCAGGGGGCUGCCUUCGCCAUCGGUGUUCCUCCACAUCUCUACGCAUUUCACUGCUACACGUGGAAUUCCACCCCCCUCUGCCACACUCUAGCCUGCCAGUCCUCAAUGCCAUUCCCAGGUUAAGCCCGGGGCUUUCACAUCAAGCUUAGCAAACCGCCUGCGCACGCUUUACGCCCAGUAAUUCCGAUUAACGCUCGCACCCUACGUAUUACCGCGGCUGCUGGCAC
This 292-nucleotide ribosomal RNA is filed under the name uncultured bacterium. RNAcentral's name for it is "partial 16S ribosomal RNA". The record is from RNAcentral.